GCGCCACCAGAGCGUCGUUGAUGCUCUUGGCGCCCUGGCUGCCGCCGGUGACGAGCAGCAGCUUGUCGCCGGGUGCGUAGCCCAGGGCCGCGCG
This 94-nucleotide transfer RNA is filed under the name compost metagenome. RNAcentral's name for it is "tRNA-Gln". The record is from RNAcentral.